RNAcentral lists this long non-coding RNA (164 nucleotides) under Amphimedon queenslandica. Its description in RNAcentral is "uncharacterized LOC109591286". The record is from RNAcentral. Lineage: Eukaryota; Metazoa; Porifera; Demospongiae; Haplosclerida; Niphatidae.
CUCUCUCUCUCUCCUUCAGAUUCAGCGUAUUCCUCCAUUAGAGAGCAGUAUGAUUGCACUGGAGACAUUGCUGGGUCAAGAUGAGACCAUUUCUGUUGAAGAGUUGUUAGACAAUCCGUCUGAUUCUCCUGUGCUGGUCAAUGGACGUGCAGUAAUGGAAAAAA